GAUGAACGCUGGCGGCGUGCCUAAUACAUGCCAGUCGAACGAAACUUCUUUAUCACCGAGUGCUUGCACUCACCGAUAAAGAGUUGAGUGGCGAACGGGUGAGUAACACGUGGGCAACCUGCCCAAAAGAGGGGGAUAACACUUGGAAACAGGUGCUAAUACCGCAUAACCAUAGUUACCGCAUGGUAACUAUGUAAAAGGUGGCUAUACUACCGCUUUUGGAUGGGCCCGCGGCGCAUUAGCUAGUUGGUAGGGUAAAGGCUUACCAAGGCAAUGAUGCGUAGCCGAAGUGAGAGGUUGAUCGGCCACAUUGGGACUGAGACACGGCCCAAACUCCUACGGGAGGCAGCAGUAGGGAAUCUUCCACAAUGGGCGAAAGCCUGAUGGAGCAACGCCGCGUGGGUGAAGAAGGUCUUCGGAUCGUAAAACCCUGUUGUUAGAGAAGAAAGUGCGUGAGAGUAACUGUUCACGUUUCGACGGUAUCUAACCAGAAAGCCACGGCUAACUACGUG
RNAcentral lists this ribosomal RNA (512 nucleotides) under uncultured bacterium. RNAcentral's name for it is "partial 16S ribosomal RNA". It matches the Rfam family "Bacterial small subunit ribosomal RNA", at positions 28 to 507 of the family's 1533-position model. The record is from RNAcentral.